AGUGAACGCUGGCGGUAGGCCUAACACAUGCAAGUCGAACGGCAGCACAGUAAUAGCUUGCUCUUACGGGUGGCGAGUGGCGGACGGGUGAGGAAUACAUCGGAAUCUACUUUUUCGUGGGGGAUAACGUAGGGAAACUUAUGCUAAUACCGCAUACGACCUACGGGUGAAAGCAGGGGAUCUUCGGACCUUGCGCGAUUGAAUGAGGCGAUGUCGGAUUAGCUAGUUGGCGGGGUAAAGGCCCACCAAGGCGACGAUCCGUAGCUGGUCUGAGAGGAUGAUCCGCCACACUGGAACUGAGACACGGUCCAGACUCCUACGGGAGGCAGCAGUGGGGAAUAUUGGACAAUGGGCGCAAGCCUGAUCCAGCCAUACCGCGUGGGUGAAGAAGGCCUUCGGGUUGUAAAGCCCCUUUGUUGGGAAAGAAAAGCAGCAGGUUAAUACCCCGCUGUUCUGACGGUACCCAAAGAAUAAGCACCGGCUAACUUCGUG
This 492-nucleotide ribosomal RNA is filed under the name uncultured bacterium. RNAcentral describes it as "partial 16S ribosomal RNA". It matches the Rfam family "Bacterial small subunit ribosomal RNA", at positions 29 to 507 of the family's 1533-position model. The record is from RNAcentral.